UUAACUCAAAUUUGUAUGGAGUUGGAAUGUUUGCCUAAGUUUGUCGCUAGAAGUGCUGUUCCAACUGCAUACGUUUUAUGCA
This 82-nucleotide microRNA precursor is filed under the name Bombyx mori (domestic silkworm). RNAcentral describes it as "mir-2807 microRNA precursor family". It matches the Rfam family "mir-2807 microRNA precursor family". The record is from Rfam by way of RNAcentral. Lineage: Eukaryota; Metazoa; Arthropoda; Insecta; Lepidoptera; Bombycidae.